RNAcentral lists this long non-coding RNA (334 nucleotides) under Nicotiana benthamiana. RNAcentral's name for it is "long non-coding RNA (NBEN_LNC023542)". Lineage: Eukaryota; Viridiplantae; Streptophyta; Magnoliopsida; Solanales; Solanaceae. The record is from RNAcentral.
CUCACUCUGAAUUAUCUACUGUGUUCUAUGAGAAAGUUCUCCUCCUUGCCUGGGGGUAAGUUUUCAUGUCACCUGUAGCUAUUUCAUUUUCUUCUCGCUGGUUCAACUUUCUCCAGUUUGUAGCUAUGGUUUUUCAAAAAAGAUAGUAAAUAUGAUUUGUUGUAAAAGUUGAUUUCGUUCAUAAUUCACUCUUAGAAUUCUGACCUGUAGCUAUUUCAUCUUCUUCUCGCUGGUUCAACUUUCUCCAGUUUGUAGCUAUGGUUUUUCAAAAAAGAUAGUAAAUAUGAUUUGUUGUAAAAGUUGAUUUCGUUCAUAAUUCACUCUUAGAAUUCUC